CGAGUCUCACAAACGUUAUUCGGAAUUACUGGGCUUAAAGGGUGCGUAGGCGGUGGAGUAAGUCGGAUGUGAAAUACCAUAGCUUAACUAUGGAACUGCACUCGAUACUACUUUGCUAGAGUAAGACAGAGGUGAGUGGAACUGAGGGUGGAGCGGUGAAAUGCGUUGAUAUCCUCAGGAACACCGGUGGCGAAGGCGACUCACUGGGUCUUUACUGACGCUGAUGCACGAAAGCUAGGUAGCAAACGGGAUU
RNAcentral lists this ribosomal RNA (253 nucleotides) under uncultured bacterium. RNAcentral describes it as "partial 16S ribosomal RNA". It matches the Rfam family "Bacterial small subunit ribosomal RNA", at positions 526 to 779 of the family's 1533-position model. The record is from RNAcentral.